GGUGAUAUAGCUCAGCUGGGAGAGCGUCUGGUUCGCAAUCAGAAGGUCAGGGGUUCGAUCCCCCUUAUCUCCACCA
This 76-nucleotide transfer RNA is filed under the name Thermoanaerobacterales bacterium. RNAcentral's name for it is "tRNA-Ala". It matches the Rfam family "tRNA". Rfam says of the family: Transfer RNA (tRNA) molecules are approximately 80 nucleotides in length. Their secondary structure includes four short double-helical elements and three loops (D, anti-codon, and T loops). The record is from RNAcentral. Lineage: Bacteria; Bacillati; Bacillota; Clostridia; Thermoanaerobacterales.